RNAcentral lists this long non-coding RNA (3324 nucleotides) under Triticum aestivum (bread wheat). Its description in RNAcentral is "long non-coding RNA (TAES_LNC019483)". The record is from RNAcentral. Lineage: Eukaryota; Viridiplantae; Streptophyta; Magnoliopsida; Poales; Poaceae.
GCCCCCUCGUUCUAGAUCGGGACCCGCCUCCCCGACGGUGUGACGCCGCCGGAUCACCGAGGCCACCUAGCCCCGAUGUUGCCCCGCCGCCUCGUCCUCAUCACCCGCGCCGUCCUCGACCUCCUCCUCAACCGCAGCUCCACCGAGCCUCACCGGUGUUCCCUUGCAACUGGGGUGAGCCGCCGUCCGUCCUCUUCUUCCCUAUCCCCGAUUCACCGGCUUCGGCUGUCGUCCGCGCCGCCCGUUCUUCUGGCCGACGCCGGAAUCGCCGUGCGCCCUCGUCGCGACCGUUGACGCGCCCCCACGCGCCCGUGGCCCCGCUUGUCUGUGCACCGGCUACGCCCGGGCUGUGCCCCGUGCGUGCGCCCGCCCCCGCUGGCGAUGCGGCCUGCUGCUGCCGCACGUGACUGCCACUUUUGCCGCAGCUCCAGCGUCCGGGAUCGAGGCACCGCGCCCGUCCCGUCCCGCGACUACUGUUGCCUGCUGGCCUAGGGCCGCGCCCGUGCCUCGCCCGCACCCCGCGCCGCCGCUCGUGCGUGGCCUGUGCGCCUGCCAACGCUCGCCGUGCGCCUCUGCGUGCGCGCAUAGCCUAUGACCAGUGGGCCCAUGCAGUUUAAUUAGGAGGGCCUAAUCCGGUUUUAGUUUAAUCCCCCUAAUACUCGGUGACUAGAGGGGCCCUCUCUCUAAAUAGAAUCUGUUAAAACUAAAUAACUGUUGUUAACCACCUCUGAAAAUGACAAUUGGCCCCACCUAUCAUAUUUGACCGGUCAACAGUCAACCCAGUUGACUGCUGACUGGGUUGCUGACUGGGUCAACUAGGACCCUGGGCCCCACUGCCAGCCUCACACACCCUUGCUGGGUACACUUUUGGGUGCCCUUAGCUUUUAGCUAUUUAAUAUUUCUGAAAUAUUAUUAAUUCAGUAAAAUGUGAAAACUGUUUAAAACUUUCAAAAUUAAUAUCAAAUAAUCUGUAACUCGGAUGAAAAAGUUUUAUAUAUGAAAGUUGAUCAGAAAAAUGAGCCGAACCUGAAUACGCUACCCACAUACCUGGCAGAUGCCUCUAACUAUCUGAACAUGGAACUUUUCCCCUCCGGUCAUCUGUCUGACACAGGUCCGGUACCGGGAAUACAUUCCCAGCUGAAUUCCCCCUUCACCUAUAUCAUGCAGUACUACGUUAGGUCGACCCUAGUUCUGCUUAUCGUCUUGUCAUGCUUUGUGAUGCUAUGUUUGCUUUAUAUUUAUUGUUUCUUCCCCCUCUUCUCUCCGGUAGACCCCGAGACUGAUGCUGCCCCUGUGAUUGACUACGUCGACGACGACCCCUCCUUGCCAGAGCAACCAGGCAAGCCCCCCUUUGAUCAUCCCGAUAUCGCCCAUUCCAUUCUCUCAUGCUUGCAUUAGAUUUUGCUACUAUUAUUGUUUGCUCCUAUUCUGAUGCAUAGCCUGUUUAUUGUAACCUGUUGUUGUUACCUACCUGCUUGUCCUAAACUGUUUAGUAUAGGUUGGGUAGAGACCCAUCAGAGACCCCCACUUUGUCCCGAUUGCCCCUGCUUCAUCAUUGAAGACCCGAUCAACGGGAUCGAAGACCAGGCCCCAGCACCGCACAUCACUUUCCCCUUAGUUGCUCGACACUACUGGGUUACUAUCGAGUGCCGAGGGUGAGACCUCUACAGCACUUCUGAUGUUAACCCUGUAGUGUAGCUAUUCGGUCGUGGUCAUUGAGGGUGAUUCCGCCUUAACCACUUCCGAUACGACUCUGUCGUGCAACCCCUCAAGUGUGAACCUCUGGGGUGGUUCCUCUUACGUUCACCUUGAUGGUUACAUCGAGUGGAAUUCACCGGGGGUGAUUCCUCGGGUUUUCCCCUUGAUGUUUGGACACACGGAUACUUGGACUUUACAACUGUUACUUGGAAGGGCGGGUCGACCCUGAGCGGUACCCGCGAGUGAUGUGGAGACGGGUUGACCUGGAGGGUGCCCGCGAGAUAAUUACGAGGCGUGGCCGGGCAUUCCUAGCCCUUGCCGCAAGUCCUCGAGACGGGGCAAUGGGGUCACAUCUUUCGUAAGUCUCUGCUUGUUACCGCGUGCUCCUAAUGCACUACGAUUUGGAUAUUUGAUCCAAGGGGCCUCUGGCCUGAUAGCACUAACCAUCACGUGGGCAUUGUAUGGGUGUUCUGCGUUGUAUGCAUCAGCCGAAGCUUAAUAGACGUCAGCGACUGAGCGGCGCGCGCUGGGUUGGACUAGUAAUCUCCUACCUUUUUAGGGAGGUAGCUAGGUCUGCUCACCGGCCGCGUACGCAACGUGCAGGAGUUCCUGGGGUGAUGGCCCAUAACCCCUGGGGGCAUAGGUUUAGUCUGGCGUGCUUACCUCUCUAUUAAGCCUAGGUCGGGUUGCGGCGUAUUGUUUGGCCAAGGCCGGGCAUGACCCAGGAAAGUGUGUCCGGCCGGAGUUAAUCAAGCGUGGUGGGUAAGUUGGUGCACCCCUGCAGGGAAGAAAUCAUCUAUCGAUAGCCUGUCCUACGGUAACGGACACUUCGAGUUGUAUCCCGAUUGAUACAACUAGAACUGGAUACUUGUGAUGAGAAUUGGAUUAUGAUGAGAACUGGAUAGUAUGGCUCCGGGAUUGCUUUCUCGCAGGGAGUCGAGAAAGGAUCUCUGGUCGAGGUUGAUAACACUGCUACUACUUUACUUUAUGCUACUCUACUCCCUCCUAUUGCUGCAAGAUGGUGGUUUCCAAAAGAUGCUAGUCUUCGAUAGGACUAGGCUCUCCCCUCUAUUCUGGCAUAUCUGCAGCCCAGUCCACAUAUACAACCUUCCUUUGAUAAUGUUGCAUAUGUAGUGUAGAUCCUUUCUUGCGAGUACUUUGGAUGAGUACUCACGGUUGCUUUGCUCCACCUUUUCCCCCUUUCUUCUUCUUUCUGGUUGAUGCAACCAGAUGUCGGAGCCUAGGAGCCAGAUGCCACCGCCGAUGCCUGCUACGACCAGGAGUAGUUAGGAGGCUCCUAGGCAGGAGGCCUUGCCUUUUCGAUCGUUGUUGCUUUUGUGCUAGCCUUCUUAAGGCAAACUUGUCUAACUCAUGUCUGUACUCAGAUAUUGUUGCUUCCGCUGACUCUUGUGUAUUCGAGCUUAUAUAUUCGAGCCCUUGAGGCCCCUGGCUUGUAAUAUAAAGCUUGUAUUAUUUUAAUUUGUGUCGAGUUGUGUUGUGAUAUAUUCCCGUGAGUCCUUGAUCUUGAUCGUACACAUUUGCGUGUAUGAUUAGUGUACGAUUGAAUCGAGGGCGUCACAAGCGCCUUUGGUAAGGAAAAAAUUUAUAUAGUGUGCUGAAAUUUAC